UUGUUAAAUGAAAUGAUAAACAUGUACUCUGAAAUUUUGUACUUACAUGAUCAUGGCACAUACUCUAAGUCCCGUCUUAAACUUAUUGCUUACAACCUUUUAAAAAAUACGGUUUUCUUGCAUGCAAAGGAAGAAACGAAAAUAACAGCAUUAUCUAGGAGAUUCUGCUUCUUUUGUCGUAGAAUGAUGCAGGGUUUCAUACCAUUACAUCUGACAUUUUGGUUGCUUCCGGGAGUAAAGAUAUCUACUUGGGUUAUAAUAUAUUUUUUCUCUCGAAUAUUGCAUUUUCCUUACAUAAUCCAUUUUAAUUUGGAGAUCACUCACUGGUUCAUGUAGAAAGAGAAUGUAAACUGUAUCCACUUUUUCUUGGAUCAUUUGGGAUUGCUGAAUGGAAAACACUUUCAAGGCAUAAAAUCUAUGAGAAUCAUGACAAGUAAUUGUACUGAAAAGGAUUACUGUCCUAUCUGGCGAUCUGUAUUGAAUUAAUUUAAGCUAGAACUGAGAAACAAGUUAGCUUCGAAAAAAUAAAUAGUUAAUUCGUGCUCAAGUAUUCCUAAAUAGUUGAACAGAUUGAGUUCAUUGCAGUAAAUUUUUUUGAAAACCUAACAUUGAUGAUGCAAGUUUCAACUGGACCAUAUCAGCUUAUUAUAGACAUGCUUACACUUCGAAUGCAAGUUGGAAAUAAUUAUUUCCCGAAGGACAACUACAGUUACUCAAUGAGAUGCUGACUGGAAUCUCCAAGCAGCAUAUUUCUUUUCAGUUGUUCUCCUAGCUGGAAUCUCUAGAGAUGCUGACUGGAAUCUAUAAUUUUUGUGCUAUUUUGUACAAGCCAGAUUGGAUGGCCCAGUUUAUCCAUACACACACAAAAUUACCAGAGUAUUUGAAGUUCGUUUUGGUAGCAAUGCUAUGUCUGUAGGCUGGUCAAUCCUUCAUCUUGGUAGCUAGCUCUGAAUAAGAUCAGUGGUAUGUACGGAAGAAGUUUGUUCUGGUAGCAAUGCUAUGUCUGUAGGCUGAUCAAUCCUUCAUCUUGGUAGCUAGCUCUGAAUAAGAUCAGUGGUAUGUACGGAAGCCUUUUGUAAUCAUACAUUUUGUCUGUAUGAAUGACGUGCUAUGUAAUCAGUCUAUAGUGUUUGGCCAUCCACUGCUUAAAGAUUAUGAUGGGUCCAACCAACAGUUUUAUGUAUGAUUAUUCAUAUCC
Molecule: long non-coding RNA, 1198 nt
Organism: Lolium rigidum
Lineage: Eukaryota; Viridiplantae; Streptophyta; Magnoliopsida; Poales; Poaceae
Exons: 2
Source: RefSeq, a predicted model, not a curated record